Molecule: RNase P RNA, 338 nt
Filed under: Comamonas resistens
Lineage: Bacteria; Pseudomonadati; Pseudomonadota; Betaproteobacteria; Burkholderiales; Comamonadaceae
Description: Comamonas sp. ZM22 RNase P RNA component class A
Rfam family: Bacterial RNase P class A
About the family: Ribonuclease P (RNase P) is a ubiquitous endoribonuclease, found in archaea, bacteria and eukarya as well as chloroplasts and mitochondria. Its best characterised activity is the generation of mature 5'-ends of tRNAs by cleaving the 5'-leader elements of precursor-tRNAs.
Source: RNAcentral
GAAGUGCGCCAGACCGCCGCUGGUACAAGUGCCGAAAGGCCGUACUGGAGGAACGUCCGGACUGCAUAGGGCGGCGUAGCAGCUAACGGCUGUCCACCGUGAGGUGAGGAUCAGAGCAACAGAGACGAGUCCCGGGGGAGUGUCGCAAGACAAACCACCGGGGGUGAAACGGGCAAUCUCUACGCGCAGCAAUACCAAGUAGGCACACGUUGACGGGGCCCCCGGAGUGUGCGGGUAGGUAGCACCGAGCCGUCAGGCGACUGGCGGCCAAGAUUAAUGGCGGUCACGCAGCGGGCAACCGCUGUGCACAGAAUCCGGCUUAUCGGCGCACUUCACAC